Molecule: ribosomal RNA, 510 nt
Filed under: uncultured bacterium
Lineage: Bacteria
Description: partial 16S ribosomal RNA
Rfam family: Bacterial small subunit ribosomal RNA
Source: RNAcentral
GACGAACGCUGGCGGCGUGCUUAACACAUGCAAGUCGAACGAAGAGCGAUGGAAGCUUGCUUCUAUCAAUCUUAGUGGCGAACGGGUGAGUAACGCGUAAUCAACCUGCCCUUCAGAGGGGGACAACAGUUGGAAACGACUGCUAAUACCGCAUACGAUCUAAUCUCGGCAUCGAGGAUAGAUGAAAGGUGGCCUCUACAUGUAAGCUAUCACUGAAGGAGGGGAUUGCGUCUGAUUAGCUAGUUGGAGGGGUAACGGCCCACCAAGGCGAUGAUCAGUAGCCGGUCUGAGAGGAUGAACGGCCACAUUGGGACUGAGACACGGCCCAGACUCCUACGGGAGGCAGCAGUGGGGAAUCUUCCGCAAUGGACGAAAGUCUGACGGAGCAACGCCGCGUGAGUGAUGACGGCCUUCGGGUUGUAAAGCUCUGUUAAUCGGGACGAAAGGCCUUCUUGCGAAUAGUGAGAAGGAUUGACGGCACCGGAAUAGAAAGCCACGGCUAACUACGUG